GAGAAAAAAACAGAAUUCGAAAAACAAGUGGACUAUGUUAAAACUGAUAGAACACAAAUAGAACAUGAUGAAGGAGAAAAAGUAGUAGAAACACAAAAGGGUGAAAAAGUUGAAGAAGAUGAUGAAGAAGAAGAGGAUGAAGAAGGAGAAGAAAAAAAAGAGGAAGUGUUAGUGGAAAAAGUUGAAAAAGAUGAUGAAGAAGAAGAGGAUGAAGAAGGAGAAGAGGAUGAAGAAGAAGAAGAAAAAAAAGAGGAAGUGUUAGUGGAAAAAGUUGAAAAAGAUGAUGAAGAAGGAGAAGAAAAAGAAAAGGAAGUGUUAGUGGAAAAAGUUGAAGAAGAUGAAGAAGAUGAUGAUGAAGAAGGAGAAGAGGAUGAAGAAGAAGAGGAUGAAGAAGAAGAAAAAAAAGAGGAAGUGUUAGUGGAAAAAGUUGAAGAAGAAGCAGAAGAGGAUGAAGAAGGAGAAGAAAAAGAAAAGGAAGUGUUAGUGGAAAAAGUUGAAGAAGAUGAUGAAGAAGGAGAUGAUGAAGAAGAAGAGGAUGAAGAAGAAGAAAAAAAAGAGGAAGUGUUAGUGGAAAAAGUUGAAGAUGAUGAAGAAGAAGAGGAUGAAGAAGAAGAAAAAAAAGAGGAAGUGUUAGUGGAAAAAGUUGAAGAAGAUGAAGAAGAUGAUGAAGAAGAAGCAGAAGAGGAUGAAGAAGAAGAAGGAGAAGAAAAAGAAAAGGAAGUGUUAGUGGAAAAGGUUGAAGAAGAUGAUGAAGAAGAAAAGGAAGUAGUAGUAAAAAAAGUUGAAGAUGAAGAAGAAAAGAUAAGAGAUUUGGAUGUACACAUAAAAUUAAUAGAUAAAGAAGAAGAAGAGGAAGAAAAAGCGGAAGAAGAAGAAGGUAGAGUACAUUAUAACAUAAAAGUAGAUAUAACAAGCAAAGGAGAGGGUGAAGGAGAGGAAAGGUACAAAAAAGAGGAUGAAGAACAUGUAGUGAUAGUGGAAAAAGAUGAAGAAAAGGAUAAAGAACAUGUAGUGAUGGUGGAAAAAGAUGAAGAAGAGGAUGAAGAACAUGUAGUAAUAGUGGAAAAAGAUGAAGAAGAGGAUGAAGAAGAGGAUGAAGAAGAGGGCGAAGAAGAAGAUGAAGAAGAUGAAGAAGAGGAUGAAGAACAUGUAGUGAUAGUGGAAAAAGAUGAAGAACAGGAUGAAGAACAUGCAGUGAUGGUGAAAAAAGAUGAAGAAAAGGAUGAAGAACAUGUAGUGAUAGUGGAAAAAGAUGAAGAACAGGAUGAAGAAGAGGAAGAGGAUGAACAAGAAGAAGAGGAAGAGGAAGAGGAAGAGGAAGAGGAAGGAAGACAAAAGGAAGAAGAAGGAGAAGGAGAAGAAGAAGGAGAAGGGGAAGAAGAAAGAGAAGNNNNNNNNNNNNNNNNNNNNNNNNNNNNNNNNNNNNNNNNNNNNNNNNNNNNNNNNNNNNNNNNNNNNNNNNNNNNNNNNNNNNNNNNNNNNNNNNNNNNAGAAGGAGAAGGAGAAGAAGAAGGAGAAGGGGAAGAAGAAAGAGAAGGAGAAGGAGAAGGAGAAGGAGAAGGAGAAGGAGAAGGAGAAGGAGAAGGAGAAGGAGAAGGAGAAGGAGAAGGAGAAGGAGAAGGAGAAGGAGAAGAAGAGGAAGAGGAAGAGGAAGAAGAAGAAGAAGAAAAAGAACUGUAUGAAAUAGAUGAAGAAGAAAAACUGAAACAACAAGAAGAGGAAGAGGAUGAAGAGUAUGAUAAAGAAAACGGAGAAGAAGAAGAAUUAGUAGAAGAAGAGGAAGAAGAAGAAGAGGAAGAGGAUGAGGAAGAAGAAGCAAAAAAAAUGCUUGAACUAGAAGAGGCAGAAAAACUGCAUGAAGAUGAAGAUGAAGAUGAAGAGGAAGAGGAAAGAGAGGAAGAAGAGGAAUCGGAAGAACCGAAAGAAGAGGAAGAGGAAGAGGAAUAUGACGACGAAGAAGGCAAAGUACGCGGACAAAGUGUUAUAGUACGAGGUAUGGAAGGAAAU
Molecule: long non-coding RNA, 2007 nt
Organism: Piliocolobus tephrosceles (Ugandan red Colobus)
Lineage: Eukaryota; Metazoa; Chordata; Mammalia; Primates; Cercopithecidae
Source: Ensembl